CCUUUAAGUCAGUUGAGUGAAGAAACUAUGGAAAUACAAGAGAGCAACAGAGAUUUCACGCUACGAUGUGCUUUUGAGAUAGGGAGGACGCCAGACAGCUGGGUGAUACAGGAGCAAUCACAAAGGAUAGAUGCCCAUUUAGGUCCUGUUUCUGACUUUAAAGUACCUCUGUGGAUAAAGGCUUCAAAGGAUCCCCCAAAGUGCCCAAGGCUUUUGAAAAAUGUAUACAUCCUUAUCAACAUCAGACAGAAGAUUUGAAAUAACAAAUAAAAAAAACAAAAAUGUGA
Hyla sarda is the source of this 287-nucleotide long non-coding RNA. RefSeq lists it as uncharacterized. The record is from RefSeq and is a predicted model, not a curated record. The transcript is spliced from 3 exons. NCBI's taxonomy places the organism in Eukaryota, Metazoa, Chordata, Amphibia, Anura, Hylidae.